RNAcentral lists this unclassified non-coding RNA (400 nucleotides) under soil metagenome. Its description in RNAcentral is "partial contains 5.8S ribosomal RNA, internal transcribed spacer 2, and large subunit ribosomal RNA". The stretch from base 1 to 122 matches the Rfam family "5.8S ribosomal RNA", at positions 35 to 154 of the family's 154-position model. The record is from RNAcentral.
GAUGAAGAACGUAGCGAAAUGCGAUACUGGGUGUGAAUUGCAGAAUCCCGUGAACCAUCGAGUCUUUGAACGCAAGUUGCGCCUCAAGCCAUUAGGUUGAGGGCACGUCUGCCUGGGCGUCACAUAUCGUUGCCUGAUGCCAGUUUCCUCGUGAUGGGUGACUGUGCAGGGCGAAUGAUGGCUUCCCGUGAGCAUUGUUGCCUCAUGGUUGGUUGAAAAUUGAGUCCUUGGUAGGGAGCGCCGUGAUAGAUGGUGGUUGAGUGACGAACGAGACCCAAUCAUGUGAGACCCCUACCGAAUUUGGCCUUCAUGACCCACAUGCGUCUUUGGAACGCUCAUGACGAGACCUCAGGUCAGGCGGGGCUACCCGCUGAGUUUAAGCAUAUCAAUAAGCGGAGGA